AUCUGCACAUUUUCCGGUCUUUUGGCUUUUGGGUCGGAGGAGGCCAAGGUGCAACUUUCUUCGGUCGUCCCGAAUCCGGGUUCAUCCGACACCAGCCGCCUCCACCAUGCCGCCUAAGUUCGACCCCAACGAGAUCAAAGUCGUGUACCUGAGGUGCACCGGUGGCGAAGUGGGUGCCACGUCUGCCCUGGCCCCCAAGAUCGGCCCCCUGGGUUUGUCUCCAAAAAAGGUUGGUGAUGACAUCGCCAAAGCAACUGGUGACUGGAAGGGUCUGAGGAUUACAGUGAAACUGACUAUCCAGAACAGACAGGCCCAGAUUGAAGUGGUACCUUCUGCCUCUGCCCUCAUCAUCAAAGCCCUCAAGGAACCACCGAGAGACAGAAAGAAACAGAAAAACAUUAAACACAACGGAAAUAUCACUUUCGAUGAGAUUGUCAACAUUGCCAGACAGAUGCGGCACCGAUCUUUAGCCAGAGAACUCUCUGGUAAAAGCAGGAUGACAUGCAACUACUUUUACUGUAUUUGGGGGCAUUUUCAUGGAGUGCUUAGCAUUAUUCCCACUUGAAGAGGCCCCAGCACCAUUAAAGAGAUCCUGGGGACGGCCCAGUCUGUGGGCUGCAAUGUUGAUGGCCGCCACCCUCAUGACAUCAUAGAUGACAUCAAUAGUGGUGCUGUGGAAUGCCCAGCGAGUUAAAAAGUACAAAGGAAAAUGUUUUAAUAAAGGAUCAUUUG
Molecule: RNA transcript, 732 nt
Organism: Nycticebus coucang (slow loris)
Lineage: Eukaryota; Metazoa; Chordata; Mammalia; Primates; Lorisidae
Gene: RPL12
Gene name: ribosomal protein L12
Exons: 7
Source: RefSeq, a predicted model, not a curated record